Molecule: long non-coding RNA, 2524 nt
Organism: Strigops habroptila (Kakapo)
Lineage: Eukaryota; Metazoa; Chordata; Aves; Psittaciformes; Psittacidae
Source: Ensembl
CCAGGCCAUGAGCAGCCAGCGUCUCCAGGAGAACACUGUGGGAGACACUGUCCAAUGCUUUAUUAAACUUCAAAUAGACAAUGUCUACAGCCUCUGCCUCAUCAAUCCAGUGGGUCACCUUGUCAUAGAAGGAGAUCAGGUUGGUCAAGCAGGACCUGCCCUUCAUGAGCCCAUGCUGACUGUGCCUCAUCCCCCCGUUUUCCCACUUGUGCUGUGUGAUGUGUCUUAGGAUCAUCUGCCCCAUGACCUUCCCUGGCACCGAGCUCAGGCUGAGAGGCCUGGAGGUGCCGGUCCUCUGGGACCUGCCCACUGGAGCAGGACUGCUGAUAGAUGAUGGAGAGUGGCUUAGCAAGCUCCUCUGCCAGCUCCUUAAGCCCUCUUGGGUGCAACCCCUCCGGCCCCAUAGACCUGCAUACGUGUAAGUGGAGCAGAAGGUUACUAACCAUUUCUUCUCAAAUUAUGGGGACUUCAGGCAGCUUCCUAUCUGUGCCAUCCAACUCAGGGAACUGAGUACCCUGUUGUGACUAUUAACGGCUGGUGGGACUGUUAAAGACUGAGGCAAAGGCAGCAUGAAGUACCUCAGCCUUUUUCUCAUCCUCAGUCACUAGGUUUCCGCUGGUAUCCAGUAGAGGAUGGAGGUUCUCCUAGGCCCUCCUUUUAGUGCUAGUGUAUUUGUAAAAGUAUUUUUGAUUAUCUUUUAUGGCAGUGGCCAGAUUUAAUUCCAGCUGUGCCUUCGCCUUUCUGACUUUCUCCCUACAUAACAUAACAACAUCCUUGUGCUCCUCAUGGGCGACAGUCCCUUCUUCCACAGGUGAUAGAUUCUCUUCUUUCCUUGAGAGUUCCAGCACUAUCUCCCUGUUCAGCCAGGCUGGUCUCUUCCCUGCCAGGCUGAUUUUUGGCAAAUGGGGAGUGCCUACUCCUGCGCCUUGAGGAGUACAUUCUUGAAGAGUGCCCAGCCUUCCUGGACCCCUUUGUCCUUCAGUAAUGUUUCCCAAGGAAUUCUGCCAACCAGCGUCCUAAACAGGCCAAAGUCAGCCCUUCGGAAGUCUAAGGUGGAGGUUUUGCUGACCUUCUUCCUGACUUCUCCAAGGAUUGAAAAUUCAACCAUUUCUUGAUCGUUUUACCCAAGACAGCCUCCAACCAUCACAUCACCCACGAAUUCUUCUCUGUUGUGAACAGCAAAACCAGCCGGGCAGCUCCCGUAACUGGCUCACUAACCAGCUGGGUUAGGAAGUUAUCUUCCAUACCCUCUAAGAACUGCCUGGAUUGUGUCUUCUCUGCGGUAUUGUACUUCCAGCAGACAUCUGCUAGGUUGAAGUCCCCCCCGAGAACAAGGGCAAGUGAUCGUGAAACUUCUCUCAGUUGUUUGAAGAACAUUUCAUCCGUAGCUUCAUCCUGGCUAGGUGGUCCAGAACAGACUCCUACCGGGAUACCAGCUUGGUUGGCCUUCCCCCUGAUCUUCACCCACAAAUAUUCAGCCUUCUCACUCACAACACUGAGUUCGAGGUGGUCGAUGCACUCCCUGACAUACAACGCAACCCCACCACCCCUUUUUCCUUGCCUAUCCCUUCUGAAGAGCCUGCAGCCAUCCACUGCAGCACCCCAAUCGUGCAAAUCGUCUCACCACAUUCCUGUGAUGGCGACGAUGUCAUGAUUUCCCUGCUGCACAAUGGCUUCCAGCUCCUCCUGCUUGUUGCCCAUGCUGCGGGCAUUGGCACAGAUGCACUGAAGUUGCCUGGUCGAUCUGGACUCCAGCAGCAGCACGCUGCCCCCUGGCUCAUUUCCAGUGGGCCUGGGGUUAUCCCUCCCCUAUCUCCUAGGUGCCAUCCAUCUGCCUAAAUCCUCUAACCCGUAUGAUCCCUUUUUUACUGCAUCACCUUCCUCAGUUUCCUGAUCCCCAGGUCCCAGGGCCUCAAAUCACUCCUCAAGGGGUACUUGGGAAGGUGACCUGAGCUGGGGUAUAAUAUGCCAUGUACUACGAGGAGUAACCUGUUUCCAACCUCCCCUGUCUCCCAGGUCCCCUCCAUCUGCUUGGUGGCAAGAGGUGGGGCCGGGAGGGGGGCAGACAUCAGGGCAGGGGGUGGCACAGGGUUUUUCCCCCAAAGGCCAAUGUCAGCGUCAGGAGGGGCUGUCCCCCCCCCCCGUAACGUGGGGAUCAGCCCAGGUCUCCAGCCCCUGGGUGUGCCUCCUCCUUGCCAGCUCCAAAGAGCUCUUCCAUGUCCCUGCAGCAGAGUGGGACUGCUUCUGCAGGAGAAGAACAGCCUCCUGGAAGCCUGCUUCUGCAGCAUCUUCUCCAUUUGCUUGGUGGCAAGAGGUGUGGGGGAUCCUGAAGUUCUUUUGUUUCAGGAGGCUGGUUUGUUUCUCUCAGGGAUGGUAGAGUGCAGCUCCACCAAUCUCCUCAGAUCCCCUCGUGCUCCUUAGCCAUUCCCCUCUUCCCGUAGCUCUGCCACCAUGCAGAGCAGAUCAUCAUCCCGGUGACAUGACACAGUCCCAUCCACCAUCCCCGGCAGGCUCUGGCCCUUGC